This 824-nucleotide ribosomal RNA is filed under the name uncultured archaeon. Its description in RNAcentral is "bacterial SSU rRNA". It matches the Rfam family "Archaeal small subunit ribosomal RNA", at positions 1 to 821 of the family's 1478-position model. The record is from RNAcentral.
GCCCUUUUCCGGUUGAUCCUGCCGGAGGCCAUUGCUAUUGGGAUCCGAUUUAGCCAUGCUAGUUGCACGAGUUCAGACUCGUAGCGAAUAGCUCAGUAACACGUGGCCAAACUACCCUUCGGAGCACCAUACCCUCGGGAAACUGAGGCUAAUAGUGCAUCCCGCACUCACCCUGGAAUGGCGAGUGCGUCAAACGCUCCGGCGCCGAAGGAUGUGGCUGCGGCCGAUUAGGUAGACGGUGGGGUAACGGCCCACCGUGCCGAUAAUCGGUACGGGUCAUGAGAGUGAGAACCCGGAGACGGAAUCUGAGACAAGAUUCCGGGCCCUACGGGGCGCAGCAGGCGCGAAACCUUUACACUGCACGACAGUGCGAUAAGGGGAUCCCAAGUGCACAGGCAUAGAGCCUGUGCUUUUGUACACCGUAGGGAAGUGUACGAAUAAGGGCUGGGCAAGACCGGUGCCAGCCGCCGCGGUAAUACCGGCAGCCCGAGUGAUGGCCGAUCUUAUUGGGCCUAAAGCGUCCGUAGCUGGCCGCACAAGUCCAUCGGGAAAUCCACCCGCCCAACGGGUGGCCGUCCGGUGGAAACUGUGUGGCUUGGGACCGGAAGGCGCGACGGGUACGUCCGGGGUAGGAGUGAAAUCCCGUAAUCCUGGACGGACCGCCGAUGGCGAAAGCACGUCGCGAUAACGGAUCCGACAGUGAGGGACGAAAGCUAGGGUCUCGAACCGGAUUAGAUACCCGGGUAGUCCUAGCCGUAAACAACGCCUGCUAGGUGUGGCUCCCACUACGAGUGGGUGCUGUGCCGUAGGGAAGCCGCUAAGCA